GACGAACGCUGGCGGCGUGCUUAACACAUGCAAGUCGAACGGAAAGGCCCUGCUUUUGUGGGGUGCUCGAGUGGCGAACGGGUGAGUAACACGUGAGUAACCUGCCCUUGACUUUGGGAUUACUUCAGGAAACUGGUGCUAAUACCUGAUAGGAGCUCCUGCUGCAUGGUGGGGGUUGGAAAGUUUCGGCGGUUGGGGAUGGACUCGCGGCUUAUCAGCUUGUUGGUGGGGUAGUGGCUUACCAAGGCUUUGACGGGUAGCCGGCCUGAGAGGGUGACCGGCCACAUUGGGACUGAGAUACGGCCCAGACUCCUACGGGAGGCAGCAGUGGGGAAUACUGCACAAUGGGCGGAAGCCUGAUGCAGCAACGCCGCGUGCGGGAUGACGGCCUUCGGGUUGUAAACCGCUUUCGCCUGUGACGAAGCGUGAGUGACGGUAAUGGGUAAAGAAGCACCGGCUAACUACGUG
Molecule: ribosomal RNA, 468 nt
Filed under: uncultured bacterium
Lineage: Bacteria
Description: partial 16S ribosomal RNA
Rfam family: Bacterial small subunit ribosomal RNA
Source: RNAcentral